This 468-nucleotide ribosomal RNA is filed under the name uncultured bacterium. Its description in RNAcentral is "partial 16S ribosomal RNA". It matches the Rfam family "Bacterial small subunit ribosomal RNA", at positions 28 to 507 of the family's 1533-position model. The record is from RNAcentral.
GACGAACGCUGGCGGUGUGCUUAACACAUGCAAGUCGAACGGUAAGGCCCUUUCGGGGGUCCACGAGUGGCGAACGGGUGAGUAACACGUGAGUAACCUGCCCUCAUCUCUGGGAUAACAGUCGGAAACGGUUCCUAAUACUGGAUAUAAGCUUGCAAGGCAUCUUUUGGGUUGGAAAGAUUUUUUUUGGUUGGGGAUGGACUCGCGGCCUAUCAGCUUGUUGGUGAGGUAGUGGCUCACCAAGGCUUCGACGGGUAGCCGGCCUGAGAGGGCGACCGGCCACAUUGGGACUGAGAUACGGCCCAAACUCCUACGGGAGGCAGCAGUGGGGAAUAUUGCACAAUGGACGGAAGUCUGAUGCAGCAACGCCGCGUGCGGGAUGACGGCCUUCGGGUUGUAAACCGCUUUCAAUUGUGACGAAGCGUUUUUGUGACGGUAGCAGUAGAAGAAGCACCGGCUAACUACGUG